UGCCAAGCAGGAGAAGGGUCCAGGGGUCU
This 29-nucleotide non-coding RNA is filed under the name Mus musculus (house mouse). Lineage: Eukaryota; Metazoa; Chordata; Mammalia; Rodentia; Muridae. The record is from RNAcentral.